Molecule: ribosomal RNA, 449 nt
Filed under: uncultured bacterium
Lineage: Bacteria
Description: partial 16S ribosomal RNA
Rfam family: Bacterial small subunit ribosomal RNA
Source: RNAcentral
AACGAACGCUGGCGGCAUGCCUAACACAUGCAAGUCGAACGAGAUCUUCGGGUCUAGUGGCGCACGGGUGCGUAACGCGUGGGAAUCUGCCCUUUGGUUCGGAAUAACAGUUGGAAACGACUGCUAAUACCGGAUGAUGACGAAAGUCCAAAGAUUUAUCGCCAGAGGAUGAGCCCGCGUAGGAUUAGCUAGUUGGUGUGGUAAAGGCGCACCAAGGCGACGAUCCUUAGCUGGUCUGAGAGGAUGAUCAGCCACACUGGGACUGAGACACGGCCCAGACUCCUACGGGAGGCAGCAGUAGGGAAUUUUCCACAAUGGGCGAAAGCCUGAUGGAGCAACGCCGCGUGCAGGAUGAAUGCCUUCGGGUUGUAAACUGCUUUUAUAUGUGACGAUUUUGACGGUAGCAUAUGAAUAAGGAUCGGCUAACUCCGUGCCAGCAGCCGCGGUAA